UAUUGUCAUUUUUUUUCCUGUGGGCACUGUGGCACACAUUAAAAAUGACAUUCUGUUGCUUGCUCUCAAAAGUAAAUAAGCCAAACAUGUUAAA
Molecule: non-coding RNA, 94 nt
Organism: Notechis scutatus (mainland tiger snake)
Lineage: Eukaryota; Metazoa; Chordata; Lepidosauria; Squamata; Elapidae
Source: RefSeq, a predicted model, not a curated record